CAGAAACUCUGAGGGUGGAGUCCAGCCACAUGCGUGCGGGUGAACAUACAGCCUAACUUGGGAGCACCAUCGCUAUGCCGUCUCUGUUGUUUUUGCCAUCAUUACCACCAGUAUCAACCAUCAUCACCACCACAAUCACCAC
RNAcentral lists this long non-coding RNA (142 nucleotides) under Suricata suricatta (meerkat). RNAcentral describes it as "lncRNA (ENSSSUG00005009319.1)". Lineage: Eukaryota; Metazoa; Chordata; Mammalia; Carnivora; Herpestidae. The record is from RNAcentral.